Molecule: ribosomal RNA, 293 nt
Filed under: uncultured bacterium
Lineage: Bacteria
Description: partial 16S ribosomal RNA
Rfam family: Bacterial small subunit ribosomal RNA
Source: RNAcentral
GGAUUAGAUACCCUGGUAGUCCACACCGUAAACGAUGAAUGCUGGAUGUCGGCUCCUUGUGAGUCGGUGUUGUAGUUAACGCGUUAAGCAUUCCGCCUGGGGAGUACGGUCGCAAGAUUAAAACUCAAAGGAAUUGACGGGGACCCGCACAAGCGGUGGAGCAUGUGGUUUAAUUCGAUGCAACGCGAAAAACCUUACCAGGCCUUGACAUGUCGACAGAGAGGAUAGGAGACUAACCUCGCAUUUAGUUGGGUCGAACACAGGUGUUGCAUGGCUGUCGUCAGCUCGUGCCG